GCUAGUUGGUGAGGUAAAGGCUUACCAAGGCGACGAUCAGUAGCUGGUCUGAGAGGACGACCAGCCACACUGGGACUGAGACACGGCCCAGACUCCUACGGGAGGCAGCAGUGGGGAAUUUUGGACAAUGGGGGAAACCCUGAUCCAGCCAUGCCGCGUGAGUGAAGAAGGCCUUCGGGUUGUAAAGCUCUUUCAGCCGGAACGAAACGGUCACGGUUAAUACCUGUGACUACUGACGGUACCGGAAGAAGAAGCACCGGCUAACUACGUGCCAGCAGCCGCGGUAAUACGUAGGGUGCAAGCGUUAAUCGGAAUUACUGGGCGUAAAGCGUGCGCAGGCGGUUUUGUAAGUCAGAUGUGAAAUCCCCGGGCUUAACCUGGGAACUGCGUUUGAAA
Molecule: ribosomal RNA, 396 nt
Filed under: uncultured ammonia-oxidizing bacterium
Lineage: Bacteria
Description: bacterial SSU rRNA
Rfam family: Bacterial small subunit ribosomal RNA
Source: RNAcentral